UACGAAGGGGGCUAGCGUUGCUCGGAAUCACUGGGCGUAAAGAGCGUGUAGGCGGCUGGGUAGGUCCGUUGUGAAAACUCGAGGCUCAACCUCGAGACGCCGAUGGAAACCCUCCAGCUAGAGUCCGGAAGAGGAGAGUGGAAUUCCUGGUGUAGCGGUGAAAUGCGCAGAUAUCAGGAAGAACACCCGUGGCUAAGGCGGCUCUCUAGUACGGUACUGACGCUGAGACGCGAAAGCGUGGGGAGCGAACAGG
This 253-nucleotide ribosomal RNA is filed under the name uncultured bacterium. RNAcentral's name for it is "partial 16S ribosomal RNA". It matches the Rfam family "Bacterial small subunit ribosomal RNA", at positions 524 to 776 of the family's 1533-position model. The record is from RNAcentral.